AUGAACGCUAGGACGACGAGGCCUAACACAUGACAAGUCGGAGGGGCAACGGGGCGUAGCAAUACGCUGCCGGCGACCGGCGGAUGGGUGAGUAACGCGUAUGCAACCUGCCUUCAGCAGGGGGAUAGCCCGUUGAAAGACGGAUUAAUACCCCAUAACACAGGGGCUCCGCAUGGAGAUUAUUGUUAAAGGGAUGCUUCCUUCGGGGGUAUUCCGGCUGAAGAUGGGGCAUGCGUUCCAUUAGGUAGUUGGUUGAGGUAACGGCUCACCAAGCCUACGAUGGAUAGGGGAACUGAGAGGUUGGUCCCCCACACUGGUACUGAGACACGGACCAGACUCCUACGGGAGGCAGCAGUGAGGAAUCUUGGUCAAUGGACGGAAGUCUGAACCAGCCAUGUCGCGUGAAGGAGGACGGCCCUAAGGGUUGUAAACUUCUUUUGCAGCGGAAUAAAGUAUUCCACGUGAUGGGAUAUUGCAAGUACGCUGCGAAUAAGGAUCGGCUAACUCCGUG
RNAcentral lists this ribosomal RNA (511 nucleotides) under uncultured bacterium. RNAcentral's name for it is "bacterial SSU rRNA". It matches the Rfam family "Bacterial small subunit ribosomal RNA", at positions 29 to 507 of the family's 1533-position model. The record is from RNAcentral.